Non-coding RNA from Xiphophorus hellerii (green swordtail), 487 nucleotides. NCBI's taxonomy places the organism in Eukaryota, Metazoa, Chordata, Actinopteri, Cyprinodontiformes, Poeciliidae. The record is from the annotation of a RefSeq genome assembly.
UUCAGCUUCACCAACCAUGUUCUCUGUCACCCUUAUGCUGCUGCUGUUAGCAGCUGGAUCAGGUGUUCGAUCUGAGACACUGAGACAGCCAGCCUCUGUGUCUGUGCUGCCUGGUGAACGACUGCAGAUCACCUGUCGUGUCUCGUAUUCUGUUAGCACAUAUGUAACAGCCUGGAUCAGACAGCCUGCAGGAAAAGGACUGGAGUGGAUUAGCAGUGACACAACUAUUAAAGAUUCAUUAACCAACAAGUUCAGUGCAAAUCUAGAUUAUUCAAACAACAUAGUGACUCUGAAGGGACAGAAUAUGCAGCCGGAGGACUCUGCUGUGUAUUACUGUGCCAGAGAUCCACAGUGACACAGAUCAGCAGCAGACGUGAACAAAAACCCCACUGUGACUGAACAGCUGCUUCGGGUAGCUGAAACUUCUGAUGUUCAGGAAAAAAAUACUGUAAUUAAAAAGCCUGUAAUAAAAAUGUGCAUCUACAUC